AGACAAAGUGUCCUUCUCUCUCCAUGCAAUAGCAGUCUGGGGAAAGCCUGCAGCAUGGGACUGCCAUAACCUUGGAAUUACAAGACGCCCCAGGAGAGAACCUGACGGCUGAACAGUGACAAAAAGACAAUUCAUUACCCGGUGGAAUGGGCGAGGGUGUAGGGGAUGGUGGAGCCCUCUGGAACAUAGGACAGUGGACGACAACCAACUAGAACAACACGCCCAGAUGAAGGAAGAAAUGGAGAAACCAAAUCCAGAGAAGAAAGGUGAGGUCUCAGGAAGAGGAGAAUGCAGUACAACACAGCAGCACAGGAUUGAAGGGGAGAGACUCAAAAUCUUAAAAGGAUUAAGUGUCACUCCCGGUGUUGACUUGAAAACCUGAGGUGGAAUCCUAACCCCUGGGAGCUUUGACAUGGAUUUAAAUGAGAUUUUUUUCCCAUUUUGUAUAGCAACAUAUAGGAAAAGAUGUUUUCUUCUGAAAAAAAAACAUGACUCAAAAUGAAUGAAAUCCAGCUAGUACAUUGGACCUUCUAAAGCCUUUUGCUUCUCUAAAACUCCAUAUUGGAGGCAGAAUUCACCUCAGUAUAGAGUGACUUGGCAUUGGAGAGCUAUAUAUUAGUGAAGGCCUGAGGUGAAAGGGUGAAUUUCGUAUAUACAUUCAUUUAAACUGAGCCUGAAGGAAUACUCACUGAAUAGGAAAAAGCUGAAAAAUAUAAACAUCUGUUUCUCAAAAGUGAAUAUUUUCUCUCUGUCCAUUUUAUACAUUACCUAUGAAGGAUUUGAAAGGUAAAAUAACAUUGGGAAACAUGUUUUAUGUUUGGAACCUCUGCUUUUUGGAGUCAAUAGAAACUGCUGGUACUCAGCAUCCCUGAGUCAUAAUAGUUGCUUGGCUGCUCUGCAUUCAUGUUUUCCAGUAAGAUGGAUUGAAUGUAUGGCAGCUGUCCUUAGAGGCUAACCUGAAAUUAAGAUAUUGCUGCUCUCAGGUUUAUCCAAGUGAAUGAAACUGCAAAUAGCUAAUAAGUAUGUAGAGAGAGAUUUCUGCUUUGCUAGUAUAUAGAGAUUAUGAUGUAAUAAUGUCAAUUACAUAUUGGAAACUUUUUUGACUACUUGAGCGUAUUAUGAAAAUGUGGAAGACGGGAUAUGUACUGUCUGCUGAUAGCAGGAUGUCACCAUGGACACCAGUACAGAGGAGUCAAAUAUGAUGAAGCAGAGAAAAAGGAAAGAGGAUAAGAUGCAGUAUCCAUGGCAACAAGUGGUAAAGAAAUAAGACUCCAAAAAGUUGAAAUCCCUAUGUGAUUCAGUAUUAUUAAAAUGAAAUUUGCAAAAUUAGAAACACAGAAAACUCUUCCUGUGCCACUGGGUCUUGUGCCAGGUAGUGUCACACAGGUAUGCUGCAUUGGCUUUAAAUUAUGUGUGGAUCAUUUAUAUAAUAUUCUUUCAUCUCUUCACUGCUAUGUUGGUUACCAGUUCAAGAUUGAAGUCUUGGCAUGAACAGAUCUGAUCCAGGCAUCUCUGUUUACACUUGUGUAUCUGUAGAAAAACAUUCUGUAUUUUUACACUUCUUCCUUGGCCAUCUAUGUGACACGGUAUAUUGUAACCACAUGUGGCAGCCUAUAAUUUCAUGUAUUUCUAUAUAACCUGAAGUAAGACAAUGUAAUAUGAGGGAAAUAUUUUUUUCUUUGAUAUGACGCCAGCUCCCAUUCUGAAUUUUGUACAUAUGGUCUGAAGCUAAUGCAAUGGACGGAGACAAAGUGGCAGAGUAAGUACUUGUGCUAGCUGACACCCAGAGGAUAUCAUAGUUUUUUCUCCUAUUGAACUAUUUUGGGCUUCUUUGCAUGUAUCUAAAUUAAACUGCCUUGCAUUUGCUAUAUCAAAUUUGAUUUACCCUCACUGGAGCUGUAAUGUUUAGUCUGUGUGAUAUUGCAUUACCUGUCUUAUAGAGGACCAUGCAUUAGGAUUUGAACAGAUGUUGUCAUCAAUUUAUCAUGGUAGACUUUUUUUUCUCUAAAUCAUUCACUUUUCUUAAGCAGAAAAAAAAUUCUGGUGCCUUUAAACAAAGGUAGAAUUCACAUUUUUUUUAGUUAUAUCCAAUCUUAAUACUGAAAACAUUUAUUCUUCAGAGAAAAAUAUGAAGUAAAUUAACUCUUGCACCUUUAUUAAAUCUCUGUUUGAUCAUAGAAAAAUAGAGCUGGAAGGGACCUUCCAAAAGGGACCAAAAUAGGGUCGAACUGAG
Molecule: long non-coding RNA, 2233 nt
Organism: Alligator mississippiensis (American alligator)
Lineage: Eukaryota; Metazoa; Chordata; Crocodylia; Alligatoridae
Exons: 4
Source: RefSeq, a predicted model, not a curated record